AAACAUAUCAAUAAGCGGAGGAAAAGAAACUAACAAGGAUUCCCCUAGUAACGGCGAGCGAAGCGGGAAGAGCUCAAAUUUGAAAGCUGGCACCUCCGGUGUCCGCGUUGUAAUCUCGAGACGUGUUUUCCGUGCGGCUCUAUGGACAAGUCCCUUGGAACAGGGCAUCGUAGAGGGUGAAAAUCCCGUACUUGCCAUGGAUGUACCGUGCUUUGUGAUACACGCUCUAAGAGUCGAGUUGUUUGGGAUUGCAGCUCAAAAUGGGUGGUAGACUCCAUCUAAAGCUAAAUAUCGGGGAGAGACCGAUAGCGAACAAGUACCGUGAGGGAAAGAUGAAAAGCACUUUGGAAAGAGAGUUAAAAGUACGUGAAAUUGUCGAAAGGGAAGCGCUUGAAGUCAGCCAUGCUGCGCGGACUCAGCCCGGCUGAUGCCUGGUGUAUUUCCCAGCAGCAAGUCAGCAUGGAUUUGGAUCGCCGGAGAAGGGUGGGAGGAAUGUGGCACCCUCGGGUGUGUUAAGCCUCCUACUGGAUACGGCGAUUUGGAUCCAGGAACGCAGUGUGCCUCUGGCGGGUCUUCGGACACCUUCACACUUAGGAUGCUGGCGUAAUGGCUUUAAGC
Molecule: ribosomal RNA, 618 nt
Filed under: Malassezia sympodialis
Lineage: Eukaryota; Fungi; Basidiomycota; Malasseziomycetes; Malasseziales; Malasseziaceae
Description: eukaryotic LSU rRNA
Rfam family: Eukaryotic large subunit ribosomal RNA
Source: RNAcentral